GAUGAACGCUAGCUACAGGCUUAACACAUGCAAGUCGAGGGGCAGCAUUUAUCUAGCAAUAGAUAAGAUGGCGACCGGCGCACGGGUGAGUAACACGUAUCCAACCUGCCUUUAACUCAGGGAUAGGCUUUCGAAAGAAAGAUUAAUACCUGAUAGUAUAAUUUAGCCUCAUGGUUUUUUUAUUAAAGAAUUUCGGUUAAAGAUGGGGAUGCGUUCCAUUAGAUUGUAGGUGAGGUAACGGCUCACCUAGUCUUCGAUGGAUAGGGGUUCUGAGAGGAAGGUCCCCCACACUGGAACUGAGACACGGUCCAGACUCCUACGGGAGGCAGCAGUGAGGAAUAUUGGUCAAUGGGCGCAAGCCUGAACCAGCCAAGUAGCGUGAAGGAUGACUGCCCUAUGGGUUGUAAACUUCUUUUAUAUGGGAAUAAUUUGCUCUACGUGUAGAGUAUUGCAUGUACCAUACGAAUAAGCAUCGGCUAACUCCGUGCCAGCCGCCGCCGUAACAC
RNAcentral lists this ribosomal RNA (506 nucleotides) under uncultured bacterium. RNAcentral's name for it is "bacterial SSU rRNA". It matches the Rfam family "Bacterial small subunit ribosomal RNA", at positions 28 to 526 of the family's 1533-position model. The record is from RNAcentral.